This is a long non-coding RNA of Sander lucioperca (pikeperch), 1178 nucleotides long. RefSeq lists it as uncharacterized. Lineage: Eukaryota; Metazoa; Chordata; Actinopteri; Perciformes; Percidae. The transcript is spliced from 5 exons. The record is from RefSeq and is a predicted model, not a curated record.
AUGAAAAUAACAAUAUUGUCACUAAAUUCAUUUUUCUUCAUUUUUCUUCACCUGUUCCUAUCUAGGGUUUUUUCGUAUUUUCUUUCCCAGUGCCAUACCUUCAGUCCAUUCCAUGAACAGACACAAAUUUGUUUCAAAGGGAGUAACAUCCCCUUAUUCACUGACUCUAAGAAAAUAUUAGAUCGCUAAUGCACUGUGGCUUUGACCAAGUUGGUUGUUUUCAAAACAUUUUGGGAAAUAUGCUUAUUUGCUUUCUUGCUUGGAGCUAGAUGAGCCAGUUAACUUAACUUACAGUCCAUAUUCUAAGCUAAGCUAACUAUCUUGUGGAUGUAGCUUUAUAUUUAACGGACACACAUGAGAAGGAUAGAGACAUUUGCGUCUAUCAGCAAGAAAGUGAAUAAGCUUAUUUCCCAAAAUGUCAAGCUUUUUUCUUCUUUUCUUAUUCAUUCAUCUCCAUUCCAAAAUAACAAACGUGUGCCGUUUUCCCUCAAUUUUCUUCAUGUGAAAACAGCAUUUAAACCACCUCCGGACACUAAAGCUAAAGUAUGAUCAAAUCAGAGGAGGAAGACAGGGAUGGUUUAUACCUACUCAACAAAAGGCCAAUAUCUGCCUGAUAAAAGUAUCUAAAUUACAAUACAAUUAUUUGAUUUAAGUAGUGUUAGUCUACCAUGUUUAAUUUUGCACCACAAGUACUCAGCUAGUCAUCUUCAUAGCCUUCAGCCUGUCGGCCUCCUCUUGAUAAUACAUCUUUGGCUUUAUGCAACAUACAAUCGUGAUUAGGUAUCAUUUAGUUUUUAAGAGGUUACAAAAACGUUAAUAUUUAAUGACAUUUGAGGGAAAAUACUUUAUGUAAAGCAAACCAAUCUACGCCAGUAGAGAUUUAUUUUGUACAAAGCGUGUCCUUUCUGUCUUUAUACGUGUUGACAAGGCUCUUUCACCAGCUGUGGCGUUUCUCACUAUUUCUGUGGUUCAUGUUUGUGUAAAUAUACUGUCUGCUUAACACAGAAACACUUGGUCAAGUUUGAAAAAAAAGAAAAUCCAAUCAAGGAAGCUGUGUACAGUCUGUGUGUAAACACUGAUUCCCGAAGAAAGAGAGAGAGAGUGAGAGAGAGACAAAUACUGUGUGUGUGUGUGUGUGUGUGUGUGUGUGUGUGUGUGUGUGUGUGUGUGUGUGUGUG